UGCUAGGUGGUGAUGGUCUGUUGACAUGA
This 29-nucleotide small RNA is filed under the name Bombyx mori (domestic silkworm). Its description in RNAcentral is "ovarian small RNA-34108". Lineage: Eukaryota; Metazoa; Arthropoda; Insecta; Lepidoptera; Bombycidae. The record is from RNAcentral.